AAAUUGAAGGGUUUGAUCAUGGCUCAGAUUGAACGCUGGCGGCAGGCCUAACACAUGCAAGUCGAACGGUAACAGGAAACAGCUUGCUGUUUCGCUGACGAGUGGCGGACGGGUGAGUAAUGUCUGGGAAACUGCCUGAUGGAGGGGGAUAACUACUGGAAACGGUAGCUAAUACCGCAUAACGUCGCAAG
RNAcentral lists this ribosomal RNA (191 nucleotides) under Escherichia coli. RNAcentral describes it as "partial 16S ribosomal RNA". It matches the Rfam family "Bacterial small subunit ribosomal RNA", at positions 1 to 185 of the family's 1533-position model. Lineage: Bacteria; Pseudomonadati; Pseudomonadota; Gammaproteobacteria; Enterobacterales; Enterobacteriaceae. The record is from RNAcentral.